RNAcentral lists this ribosomal RNA (497 nucleotides) under uncultured bacterium. Its description in RNAcentral is "partial 16S ribosomal RNA". It matches the Rfam family "Bacterial small subunit ribosomal RNA", at positions 28 to 507 of the family's 1533-position model. The record is from RNAcentral.
GACGAACGCUGGCGGCGUGCCUAAUACAUGCAAGUUGAGCGAUGAAGAUUGGUGCUUGCACCAAUUUGAAGAGCAGCGAACGGGUGAGUAACGCGUGGGGAAUCUGCCUUUGAGCGGGGGACAACAUUUGGAAACGAAUGCUAAUACCGCAUAACAACUUUAAACAUAAGUUUUAAGUUUGAAAGAUGCAAUUGCAUCACUCAAAGAUGAUCCCGCGUUGUAUUAGCUAGUUGGUGAGGUAAAGGCUCACCAAGGCGAUGAUGCAUAGCCGACCUGAGAGGGUGAUCGGCCACAUUGGGACUGAGACACGGCCCAAACUCCUACGGGAGGCAGCAGUAGGGAAUCUUCGGCAAUGGACGAAAGUCUGGCCGAGCAACGCCGCGUGAGUGAAGAAGGUUUUCGGAUCGUAAAACUCUGUUGGUAGAGAAGAACGUUGGUGAGAGUGGAAAGCUCAUCAAGUGACGGUAACUACCCAGAAAGGGACGGCUAACUACGUG